AGCUUUUGACAAUUGAGUAAAGUAUAAUCCAAUUAAGAGCAUAUUUCUUUCUCUCUACCCAAUUCCUCCAAAAUUUAUGAGUAUUCAUUUGUAAACCAAAAAGUAUCUGAGGCAAGUCUCAAUCAACUUAGAAGUUCAUUUUGCCAAGGUUAAGGACAUGCCCAUGUACGGCCUUUGGUGCUCAAGGUGGUCAGGCUACAACUUGGUUUUAUGCAUUUUAGGGAAACGUAAGACAUCAAUCAAUACAAGUAAGAUGUACAUUGGUUUGCUUCAGAAGGGCAGGACAACCAGAAGCAGGAGUUUCCAGGUAAUAGGCAGAUUUAAAUAUUUCCGAAUUGGCAGUUGGUUGAGUUACUGUCUAAAGACCUGGAAUCAAUAGAAAGGAAUGUCUGAGUUACAAUAAGGGGUUGUGGAGACAAAGGUUUUAUCAUGUGGACGAAACCUCCAGGUAGCAUGCUUCAGAGAGAAUAGAUUGUAAAUGUUUCCUAUUAGACUUAAUUAGUCUCUUCUACGAGUCUUAAGGUCUAUGUUGAUAUUAAUGAUAAUGAGGCAAGUCUGACUCCCACUUCCCAUCAUGGCGUGAACUAGUUUUUCAGGUUAACAUUGGAAUGCCCUUGGCUGAGAGGAGGGGUCAGUUCAGAUGGUUGAGGGACUUAUCAUUUUAUUUUUGGUUUACACUUAACUUAUCAAGUGCAAUAAGAAUCUGUUUUCUUUUAUAAGAGGACACAAUUGGAGACACUGGUUAGUUUACCAAGGCUUUGACUAGAAGGCCAUGCCUUCAAAUAUGAACAGACUGCUAUAAGGAUUCAAAGUUGACUUAUAGGGCCAAUAAAAGACUCUGGGGAAAAACUGGCCUCAUAUCUUGUCUAUACAGUCCCUGUACAGGGUUCCUGACCUGUGGUAAGUAAAGAAUGUCACUUUCUUACUGGCCCAGGAGCCCCAAGUUAUCUUGGGACCUCAAGAAGAGAGAAAUUGACCUAACCCAUACGGGUAUUUUCAAGCACAAAUCCAUGGCUAGACUCAAGGUUUUGAAAGGUCUAUCUGAGAUUUUGUAUGAAACAAAGUUUCAUCAAAGGCAAUUUAAAAAGGAGCCUAUAUGGCAAAUAAUUAUUCUUGUUGCACUUUAUGAAAAUAAUCAGGUCAAGUAUAAUAUGACUAAAGGUUAUUUUGCAAACAAAUCAGUCCUACCUUGAUUUGUUUUUAAUAAAAAUGAUGACUGGAAAGAGAUAAAUUAUGUUUCAAAAACUGUGGUACACCUGUUGUUAAAUUCUAGUCUUGUCCAUUGUUUUUGUGUAUUUUUCUGAAAUGUAGACUGACCCUGCUUAUUCCUUUGAUCUCUGCCAGCUGCGUAGAAGAAACGAGGGAUGGGUAAUGUAAAAAUCUGUAUCAGUAUUCUAACUCUGAGCAUAUAUUGAAAUUGGCUAGCAACCCCAUAUCAGCUUGGUGCCCAAUUCAUGGAAAGCCUUCUCAUUUAGUUUACUUGGGAUACUUAUUUUAUUUACUGUUGUUGAGUAUAUUGCUGUCGUACUCUUUAAGUAAGAAUGCAAGAUAAGCUUACUCAACAUUUUCUAUAAUUGAACACUUAUUGUCUUCCAGAUAUUUCCUUUUGUCAGGACCCAGAGUUAUGAAUGGCCAUCACUAUACUGAUGCUUCCUGACUGAGCUCCUUUCUACCCUAAAUACAAGAGAACCUAAGAGUUAGGCAGGAAUAUUAUCACCUCUACACAGCCCAAAGAAGCUAUAGAAAAAUGAAUUUUUGUCCUUCUGCAACUCUUAGGAUUAAGUAUCCCCUUGGAAAAGGGAGGGGAGAAUAUGUCAGUGGUGUUUAAUCCAGAGCAACCCCUUCUUGAAUAGGGGAUGGGUAAAAUACGGCUGAGACCUGCUGGACUGCCUUUCUAUGAGGUUAGGCAUUCUUAGUCAAAGGAUAUUUGUGGUUAAGGGAACAGAUUAAUAAUGUUUACUGAACAGACCCAGGACUUAACAGACCCAGGAAAUGUCCUGAUGUUACAAUAUCUUAAGAACAAAAGCAUUCUUAGUUUAAGAAUAAGUUUUGCUUUAAAAUAAUAAUAUACAUUCUUGUGGAAGACAGUAGUUACACAAAGAUUAACCAUUCUUUGUCACAAGCCCUUGUAGUAGAGUAUAUCUCAUCAUUUUUUGUUUUAUUAUCUUGUAAACAAGCAUUGUACCUAAAGUGGACAUGUUCUUCCUCUUGCUUUCAGGACUGCCCCGCUCUAUCUAUGGAGUAGCUAUACUUCUAUUCCUUUACUUUCUUAAUAAACUUGCUUAUACUUUACUCUGUGGACUCACCCUGAAUUCUUUCUUGCGUGAGAGCCAAGAACCUUCUUUCGGGGUCUGGAUCAGGACCCCUUUCUGGAAACAAAAUGAGUAGUACUUUUUUUUUUUUUACAGCUUUAUUGAAGUAUAAUUGAUAUAAAAUAAAAAACUGUGCAUGUUUAGUAUGUACAAUUUGGUGAGUCUGACAUUUGCAUGUGCAUGUGGUUUUGGAGAGGGAUGAAAAUGGGUGGUAGGGCAAAGGUUUCUAUUCACCCAGCUCACUUUAUUUAUUUUUCUUACCCUCCUAGAUACUGUAGAUAUUUCAGUUUGUGGUCCCUGCUGUUGAGCAAUCUGAGCUCUGUGAGAUAUGCAGAUAAUGUCUCCAGAGAGCCAUUAGCAUGGGUCUUCAGCCAUGCCUCCCCAUCCAUGCCACGAGGGAAUUGUUUAAAGUCAUUUUGUUCCUGAUUAGCUGCCUCACUCAUUAUCUUCCUGUUCCUGGAAUUUGUGGCACAAAGAACAAUGUAUAGCCAAUCAGUAGCUAAUACUAUUUUAAUGUAAAUUCUUAAUAAACAACUUAGGAACUGCCUCUUCUUUUUCUUUAAAAACCUACUUUUUAUCUGUUGCUACUCUGAGUGUAUAUUCAGGGCAACUUGAAUCUAUGUUGCUAGUUGCAAUCCUCAAGCUUGUCCAAAAUAAACUCUCUAUAUUAGUUUGGUCUCAGCUUCUUCCUCUUAGAUGGACACUGUACACCCAAGUCAAAUCCAUUUUCCUCAAAGUCCCUUGGAACCCUACUUGGGUUACCAUCCUAGCUGUAGCUCUGACCCAGCAAUUCCCUUAAAUUAACCUUGGCACUGGCACAGUGCUCAGGACCUUUUCCAUAAGGGGCUUGCUCCUCUGACUCACCCCUCCUCAUCAAUUCUUUUCUCCAGGGAAAUCUUCCUAAGAACUGGCUGCAUUAUAGAACCAGACUGGAAUCCACUCAUCUGGCACAGUAAAACCAGAUAUCUACACCAAGGUUUUUGCAGCAGUAGAAAGGCAUUUAUUUGCAGGGUGCCAAGCAAGGAGGACCAGGAAGCUAAAUGCUCAAAUCCUGACCUCCUUGAUGACUUGCAAGCAAGAGUUUUUAAAGGUAGGAGUAAAUCUCAGGAUAUCAGAAGCUACAUGCAAAAUUAUACAUCAAUACAAGAAGGUUUUAGCUUUAUAAGGGUAGAAUAUCUUGGAGUGGGGGCCUGGAGGGUGACUUAUAGGUCAUAGGUAGAUUCAAAGAUUUUCUGAUUUGUAAUUGGUUAAGGAAGUGAAGCUUUGUUUAAAAAUCUGGAGUCAGGGCCGGGCACAGUGGCUCACACCUGUAAUCCCAGCAAUUUGGGAGGCUGAGGCAGGCAGAUCAUGAGGUCAUAAAAUCGAGACCAUCCUGGCCAACAUGGUGAAACCCCAUCUCUACUAAAAUACAUUAAAAAAUUUAGCUGGGUGUGAUGGCGCACACCUGUAGUCCCAGCUACUUGGGAGGCUGAGGCAGGGGAAUAGCUUGAAACUGGGAGGCCGAGGUUGCAGUGAGUGAUAUCAUGCCACUGCACUACAGCCUGGCAACAGAGCGAGACUCUGUCUCAAAAAAAAAAAGAAAAUUGGAGUCAGUAGGAAAAAGUGUUAAUUUUCUGGGAGAGGGGGGUGACUUUCCCAAAGCCCCUUGAGAAGAAAUUUAGAACAAAAAAUUAUGGUCAAAGUUCAGUCUUCAAUUCUCCCUUAUCUGAAGUCUGCGUGCCAGAGGAUCCAUUCAGUGGGGGUCCUCAGUGGGUAUCUGACUUUCUAAAAGACAACUCAGACACAAAUGUUAAGAUGUUAUCCUUAGUUUCUAUAGGGAAAGGGAACAUCUCAGGAACUCUAACUUUCUUGGCUAUUGUUUUAAGCUACUAUGACCUUCUUGUUUAACAAGUUAUGUAUUUACUUCUGAGGCUAGCUGCAUGCCUGGAAUUUCUCUCGAAGGAACUCAGAAUAUUCCUUUAUUUCCAUGCUUGGAAGUCUGCAGGCUCCUAAAAGGGGACCCCUGCUCCACCUCAGCUUCUCUUUGCAAUAAGUCCCUUUCUUUUUACCUGCCCCGUAGCUUUUCAGCCUAUGCCAGCUGGUGCUGUUCAUUCUGUUGCUCCACGCCCCUGAAUGACGUCUUCUUCUUUGCAUUUCCAAAGUCUGCCUGGUCACCUGUAGUUUAUUUUACUAAAGAACUGGUACUUGUUGGUCUUGGUUGGGGGCCCUUACUAGAAGAAAGCAUUCAACUACUUAUUUGAUGCCUGAGGAAUCUUUCUGACUAUGUAACUACAUAAAAUAUGUACUCUAGAGCCAGCCUCUCCUGGGUACUGGCAUAGUAGGAGUACCCAACUUUACACCUUGAGAUCAAACUCUGGGGAGGCAAGUGCUCUGGAGAGCAACAUAUGGAAAUAGAAAUAAUUUAUUCCAUCAAUGCUUUCUACCCUCUCUGCCAGGCAGUCUAUUCCUGUUCUUGAGGUUAGAGAGUGGCAUCCCAUGGGACAGGCCUCAUUUCUUAUGGCUAAGAGCAAGAACAUGGAGCCUGGAUUAGAACUCUCAUUGAAUGGAGAAUUAACCACGUACUAGUGUGUAACCUUGAGCCAUCAUACCUUUCUUUGUCUCUACAUCUUCAUCUGAAAAACGGGGCAAUUCACCUGAAAAAUGGAGUAAUCAUAGUGCCUGUAUUAGUCUAUUCUCGCAUUGCUAUAAAGACUAGGUAAUUUAGAAAGAAAAGAAGUUUAAUCAGCCCACAAUUCUGCAGCCUGUACAGGCUUCUGCUUCUGGGAAGGCCUCAGGAAACUUAUAAUCAUGGCAGAGGGUGAAAGGGAGGCAGGCAUAGUCUUCACAUGGACAGAGCAGGGGGAAGAGAGAGAAAAUGUGGAGAUGCUACACACUUUCAAACAACCAGAUCUCGUGAGAACUCAAUCAUGAGAACAGCAUGGGAGAAGUCCACCUCCAUGAUUCAGUCACCUCACACUAGGACCCUCCUCCAACACUGGGAAUUACAAUUUGACAUCAGAUUUGGGUGUGGACACAGAGCCAAACCAUAUCAGUGCCUUUUUCAUAGAUAUGUCAGGAUUAAAUAUAAAGCUCUUAGCACAGAGGCUGACACAUAUUAAGUAUCAAAAAGUGUGAAAAAUAGCACUUGUUUUUUCCCCAAGAGCCUCUAAGCCUAUCACUGAAAAAUUAUAUUCUAUCUCAGGAGUCUGUGAAAAACAAAAUAUCGUUCUCAAAAAAUUGCUUGUGAAGAAGACUCUCCACUUAAAACUGUGGCCCUAUGCUGUCCUGCUUUCCACUAACAACCUGAGUACAUACUUCCAGCUAUAUCUAGCCAAAAAUCAAUUAGAACUAGUGCUAGAGCUCCAUUAAACCUACAAUAUGCAAUUCCAAUCUAAAGGCCACUGCUUUGUUUUACUUCCACAUGUAAGGUACAGAUAUUCUUAAGAACCUUCUUUCAAUGAAAGAAUAAGAUUUCAGUGACCAUGACAUUUUCAUUCCUUUAAAAAAAAGCUUGGCACAACAAAUAAGAAUAUUUUAUUGAACCUAAUGAUAAUUUUUCUGAAUUUGUAUUUAUUUAUUUGCAAUUACACAUGUAAUACUUCUUUUUUUUCCCUUUUUUAGAGACAGGGGCUUGCUAUGUUACUCAGGUUGGUCUUGAACUCCUGACCUCAAGCAAUCCUCCUGCCUUGGCCUCCCAAAGUGCUGGCAGUAGAGGCAUGAGCAACCAUGCCCAGCCCACAUAUAAUACUUUAAUACAUUCUGCUAAAACAAUUCAAACAAUGUAAAUAAAAUGAAAAUGGUGUUAACCAAAAAAGUGACUGAGGAAGAAGUCUCAAUCAAUAGAGGUUUAUUGACCCCAAAGUUUGAGGAUGUGCCCAGGAAAAACACAGUCACAGAGGCAUCUGUGACCUAUGCUUUCCAAAGAGGGUUUUGGGAACUCAGUAUUUAAAGGAGAAAGAGAAAGAAGGAAGAAAAUGUUGGGGGUAAACAGUGAGGCAGAUGGUUACAUUCCUGGAGGCUCUAAUUACUGCUCUAUAAGUCUACAUCUUACACAAGGCAAGGUAAACAUGUGAAAAGAGGAGAGGAAAAAGUCAAUUAUCUCAUCUCAGGGCAAGAGAGGAAUACUUUCUUGUCUUGUCCUUGUGCUGUAUCUGUGAAGAUAAGCCUGUAAUCGACAUUGUCAGUGAGAAAUUUAACACAACUUGGCUGGGCACGGUGGCUUCAAGCUACUCUUUCUCAAGUGGAGCUAAUAGUUACCUCAAAUGGCUAAUCUUUCUCAAGUGAAGCUUGAGAAAGUAUUUGCUUUCCAAAUUACAUACUUCACCUAGUCUGUUUUGCUUACAUUAAAUUUAGUAGCUAACCUCUUUGUGUUCACUCACAAAAUACUUUGAACUUCACGUGACAUAUGACUAUCAUAUCUUCAGUCUACUGGAGAGUCUAAAUUUGCAUCUGAAAAAGUAGCAAAAUAGCUCUAAGCAAACAUUUCUUCCUUAAAACUCAAGAUUCCGUUUUAUUUUGUUUUUGUUACAUCUCACCUUCUAGACAGCAAUUUUAUGCCUCACAGUCUUGAUUUCAUCAAGACAUAUUGUUGGAGAUGGAGUGGAAAGUACUCCUAUUUGUUACUCAUUCUUCUAGUCUUGAACUAGUUUUUCUUACUUCUGACUCUUUAUAGGCAGAUAUCAUGUGUACAAUAUAGUAAUGAAAAUAGAAAUCUGGAUUUCAACCUGCUUUGUCUCUUUGACUCCCUCUUUUCUAGGAACUGAUCCUUUUCUCCACUUGUCCUCUUUCCUGUGUCUUACUCUACAAUGGACUGAGUGUUCAUGUCCCCCAACCCUUUAAAUUCAUAUGUUGAAAUCCUAACCCCUAAUGUGAUGGUGUUAGGAGGUGGGCCCUUUGAAAGGUAAUAAGGUCAUGAGAGUCGAGUCCUCAUAAGUGAGAUUAGUGCCCUUAUAAAAAAAAAACCCAGAGAGCUCUCUUACCCUCUUUCCACCAUGAAGUAACCAGUCUACAAACUGGAAGAGGACCCUCACCAGGAUCUGACCAUGGUGGCACCCUGAUAUCAAACUUCCAGCCUCCACAACUGUGAAAAUAAAUUUUUGUUGUUUAUAAUCCACUCAGUCUAUGGUGCUUUGUUAUGGUAGCCCAAACUAAGGUAUUCCCUUAUGCUUGACCUCAUGACAUGACUUUAUCACAGUGGAAAUACCCCUGAUUUAACCAGUUUACCCUACUUCUUGGCCACAGUGAUACGCUCAGGGAACCUGAAUCAAAGGCAGGACAACUAGCAUCCCUCUGCAGACAGUUGGAAUUUAGACCAAGAAAUUCUAGGCUUAUUCUUUCUGGUUUUGAAACAGAGGAGAUAGAAACUCAGAAGAUACAGUAAAUAUUUUCCAGCUUGUGAAAAGUAGGCCAACACUACUUUUGGGUUGACAGGAGAAAAAAGUCAAUUCAGAGAGAGGAACAGAAUUGAAAGCUGGGGCAGAAAGACUUCCUUGCCUAGCUGUACCCUGCUCUUGGACCAUUUGAAUCACCUCUGUUUCCUUAUGAUUACUUAUCUUUUUUGUUUGUUUGCUUGUUUUAGCUAGUUAGAGAUAGUUUCUAUUACUCAUAACACCAUAAAAAUGUUAACUAAUAUGAUAUUUUCAGCAAUAAAUUUUGGGGUGAAUUUCUCCUUCUUUAAUUGUUUUGUUAGGCAUUUGUUAUAAUGGUCAAGAAAGGAAUUUCCUCAGGGAAUUUUUCUUCUGUUUUUUUUUUCACCCCAUGUAUAAAUUUUAAGUACAUGUCUCUUUAUUUCUCACUAGAGUCAGUAUUAUGUAUCUUUUUGUAAAUGAAAUACAAGGGAUUUGCAGCAAAAUAUGAAAAGCCUGGAAUGAUCUAGUAUAGUAUCUAAAUAAAAGUUUCUUUCAAGACAAAACUCCUCAAAGAGGACAAACUUGUGGGGAUAGAAUUCAAAUUUAAGAGGGCACAGAUCAUAAAGCCAAUGAAAAAGAAUACCUAGAUUAAAUGUGGGGUGGAGGUAGGAAGGGACAGUCAGAAUAUUUCAGAAUGUAAGCUACCAUAAUCUUGAAAGCUUUGAAAAACAUCCAAAAAAGAGAGCUCUAAAAUGAUAAGGUUUGAAUAGAAAGUUAUCCAAGUUUGGGUAGAAAGUUAUCCAAGUUUGGGUAGAAAGUUAAAUGAUAAAAUAUUAUCCAAAACUACAUCUCCUUUCUAAAAGCUCAGGAAAACUGUGACAUAAACAUUGAGCUACAGAAAAGAUAGAGAUCAAAUUCCAUUAAAGUAUAAGGAAAGAGAGAAUAAUAUUCCUACAGAUAAUAAAACAUGCCAAAAACAUUCUCAUACAGCAGAUGAAAACUAUAGUCUAAUAUUUCAAAACUAGCUAGGAGACACAAAAAAUGAGAUAAGAAAUAAAAGAACAAAUCAGAAUUUGAGAUGAUAGAACUAAGAAGAUAAUUUUAAAAAUUAUUAAGAAACAGAACAAAUAAAAGUAAAACUAGAAAAAAUACAAGAUAAUAUCUCAAGAGAAAUAUAAGUAAAAAAAAUUUUAAGAAUUUAAAAGAAAAAAGAGAGAGAUAAAAAGGAUUAAAGAAAAGACACACAAGGAAGAUCCCACAUACAUACAAUAGGCAUAUCUAGGGAAAAUUUUAGCAAUAAAAUACUGAAAUCUAUCAUUUGAGAAGCCAAAAUAAAAUGAGAAUUGAAACUAAAUAUUGAGAGGACACUCAGUUUAUCUGAUAAAAUUGGCUUGGAAUGAUCAUCACUGAGAUUUAGUCUAGCGAAAUUAUUGUACUUUAAAGGAAAUAAAAUAAAAAUUAUUUAGAAAAUCCAGGGAAAAAAUAUGAAAUUAUUCAUACAGGAAAGAAAGUCAUAUUAUCUUCAAACUUCAAUCUCAAAAUUUUAUGCUUGAAGAAAAUUCAGUAACAUAGUGCAAAGAAAGAAAAUAUGAAGCAAUGAUUUUAUAUCUAUAUAAGCUGUUAGGCAAGAACUGAGGGAAUAUUAUUCUUUAUGAAUCUACUGGAGAAGGGGAUUCAAACAAUCAAAAUACAUGGGGAGGCAUUGACAAAAUGAUUCAUGGUGAGCAUUGAUAAUAAUUUCUAGCAAAACUAAGACACUAAAUGAGAGAUAUAAAGAAGAUAAUGUGGUACAUAAUGGCUGAAUACUCUGACAGUGUGGAUACGGUACAAUUGUAAAUAUGUGGGGUGAGAAUGGAAAGAGCAUAUGCAAAAGAAUUUUUAACUCUUUUCAGUAAUUGUAUUGAUGAUAAUGUUAUUUCAGGGUGUGUCUUUGAGGAGGGUUUUGUAAGAGAGUAGUAUUUGAAUCAGUAGAAUGAGUAAAACAGAUCUGCCCUCACCAAUGUGGGCUAGCAUUAUCCAAUUAGGCAUAGGAAGAGUGAAUUUGCUCUCUAUUCUUGAGCUAGGAUAUUUACCUUCUCUUGCCCUCAGACAGUGGAGCUCCUGGCACUGGGGUCUUUGGACUCCAGGAGUUACAUCAGCACCUCCUGACCCCCGAGUCUUUGGGCCUUUGGCCUUGGACUGAGAGUAUGCCAUUGACGCCCCUGCUUCUUAUGUCUUCAGAUGCGGACUGAAUUACACCGCUGGCUUUCCUUGUUCUCCAGCUUGCAGGCAGCAUACUGUGGGACUUCUGGGCCUCCAUAAUUGUGAGGAAGUCAAGAAGGAGAUGUGACCUAUGUGAGACCAUGCUCUGGAGAAGAGAGACCGCAUCAACAGCCAGACAUCUUUACAUGUAAAUGAUUCAUCAGAAGCAAAAAUUUGGAGUCAGAGAAGACAAGGAGAAAUGUAGUCAUCUCCCCACCCCAACACACUUAGGGCUUAACUUGGAGUGGUUGGGGGCAUGCGAAUCAACUGACUAAGAUAAAAGACAAGGAUGAACGGAUGGAUGUGUGAAAGGAAAAUAAAUCUUGGAGCCCCCAAAUCACUAAGCUAAAGGGAAAAGUCAAGCUGGGAACUGCUUAGGGCCAACCUGCCUCCCAUUCUACUCAAAGUCACCCCUCUGCUCACUGACACAGAUGCAUAUCUGAUUGCCUCCUUCGGAAAGGCGAAUCAGAAACUCAAAAGAAUGCAACCAUUUGUGCCUCACCUAUUUGUGACCUGUAAGCCUCCUCUCUGCUUCAAGUCUUCCUAGCUUUGCUUCAAGUUGUCCCGCCUUUCCAGACCGAAACAGUGUACUUCUUACAUAUGUUGUUUGAUGUCUCGUGUCUCCUUAAAAUGUAUAAAACUAAGCUGUGACUGAGCACCUUGGGCACAUGUUGUCAGGACUUCCUGAGGCUGUGUCACGGGCACAUCCUCAACUUUGGCAAAAUAAACUUUCUAAAUUAACUGAGAUCUGUCUCAGAAUUUCUGGGUUCAUAGAUUGACAGGGAAUUUUUUUUUUUUUUUUUUUUUUUUUGAGACAGGGUCUGGCUUUGUCACCCAGGCCAGAGUGCAGUGGUGCAAACUCAGCUCACUGCAACCCCUGUCUCCUUGGCUCAAGUCAUCCUCAGACCUCAGCCUCCUGAGUAGCUGGGACAGCAGACAUGUGCCACCACUCCCAGCUAAUUUUUUUUUGUAUUUUUUGUAGAGAUGGGGCUUCACCAUGUCACCCAGGCUGGUCUCCAACUCCUGAGCUCAAGCGAUCCGCCCACCUUGGCCUCUCAAAGUGCUGGGAUUACAGGUGUGAGUCACUGUGCCCGGCCAGCAUUUCAUUGUCUUUUAUGACAUUGCCAUUUUUGAAAAAACAAUCCCUUUUUUAAAAAAAAAACUAGAAUGUUCCUUAUUUUGAGUUUGUCUGAUACUUCCUCAUGAUUAGUUUCAGAGUAUGCAUUCUGGCCAGAAUAGCACAUUAGUGAUGUUGUCCUCAGGGAGUCACACCUAGAAGCAUAUAAUCUGUGUGUCAAAUGCCCCUUAUUUGUGAUGUCAAUUUUGAUCUGCUGGUCAAGGUAUUGUCUGAGUUGUUCAAAUGAUAGUAGUUUUUUUCUCUUAUUCCUAAUAAGCAAUCUAUGGGAAGAUAUCAUAAGGUCAUCCAAAUAUCCUGCUCCUCAUCAAAAAUUUAUCUCUAGAUUUAGCAUCUAUUGAUAAUUUUUGCCCAAAUGAAUCAAUAUUUACUGUGUUGGCAGAAAAAAAAUGAAGAUUUUCCAGUUCAAUUACUCUUUUCACAUUUACAAUUCAGCACUUGGCAUUCUUGCAUAAGCAAGACCUCUUCUUUCUUUACAUAUUUAUCUACAUGUUAUUAGCAUGGACUAAUGAAAUUACUAGGUUUUUUUGUUUGUUUGUUUGUUUUUUCCCAAUGGUUGGUGCUCAAAUUGUCCUAUAUUUGAUGAAUGGGAGCCCCUUCAAGCUGGCUCCUGUGUUCUCGUGUCAUGCCCUAUCAUUUUGAGCAGUUCCUUACUCUUUGACCUAAUAAGUUGCUUCAGGCUCACCUUGUACCUUUUCUGGCCCACCCAUUUCGUCCAAGAGCCUUUGAAGAAAGGCUCUUUACUAGGGAAUGGUGUCAGAAUCCAACAUCUGAGUUCUAAGUCCUAAUAAUGUUUUAAGGAUAGAUUCUUAGGAUUAUAAUUUUUUUUUUUUUUUGGUCACAGUAUAGUUUUGGAGAUUCUUUAUAUGUAUCACCAAACUGCUUCCUGGAAAUGUACUGAUUUAUUCUCCUACCUGCAGUGCAUAAGAACGCACUUCUCUUUCCAUGCUCACUAACAUUACCUUUUUCCUAACUUUUCAGGUAGAAAAGUAUAUAAUAAUUUUUGUUUCCUAGAUGAUGAUGAUGAUUAUUAUUAUUAUUAUUAUUUGAGACAGAGUCUCCCUCUGUCGCCCAGGCUGGAGUGCAGUAGCUCAAUCUCGGCUCACUGCAACUUCCGCCUCCCAGGCUCAAGUGACUUCCCCAGCUGAGCCUCCCAAGCUGGAAACGUAGGUGCCAUAACACCUUGUCUAAUUUUUGUAUUUUUUUGCAGAGACAAAAUUUCGCCAUGUUGCCCAGGCCAGUCUUGAGCUCCUGGACUCAGCUAUCUACCUGCCUUGGCCUCCCGAAUGUUUCCUAGAUUACUAAUAAGGUUUGUUCAUUUAUUACCUGUUUUCAUUAAAUUAUCUGUUCAGGCUGGGCGCAAUGGCUCACGCCUGUAAUGCCAGCACUUUGGGAGGCCAAGGCGGGUGGAUCUCCUGAGGUCGGGAGUUUGAGACCAGCCUGGCCAACAUGGUGAAACCCUGUCUCUAAUAAAAAUACAAAAAUUAGCCAGGCGUGGUAGCCUGCACCUGUAAUCCCAGCUACUCAGGUGGCUGAGACAGGAGAAUCACUUGAACUCGGGAGGUGGAGGUUGCAGUGAGCUGAGAUUACGCCACUGCAACUCCAGCCUGGGCACCACAGAUUGGGACUCAGUCUCAAACAAAAAUAAAUAAAUAAAUAAAUAAGUUAUCUGUUCAUAUUGUGCCUACUUUUAUCAGAGCUUACAGUUUUAUAUCUGUAUGAAGUGUUCUUAUAUUUGGGACAAUGAUUUUGCUAGCUUAUUUACAUUUAAAUUUUCUUUGUACUUUUACUUUACAUUCAAGUAUUUGAUGUUUAUAUUGAGUCAAAUCUGUCCAUCCUUUCCUUUGUGAUUUUUUUCCCAUUGCUGUAAUGCUUAGGGUAUAUUUUUAUAGAGCAAUAAUAAAUAUUUUAGUGUUAAUUAUAUUCUUGCUGCCCAAAUUAAAAAAGACUCUCUUUUUUUGUGGAAAAGAGUGGAGAAGGAAGAGUGUUGAUUCGUUCCAAAGAGAAUUUAAUAGUAGUAACAGUUAUUACUACUGUAACUGUUAAUGAAAAAGAUUGUGUGUGUGUGUGUGUGUGUGUGUGUGUGUGUGUGUGUUUCUUAAGAGUUCUGUUAACAUCAAGACUGUUCCUUGACUUUCUCCUUAGGGUCAGGUAUAGUUAAAAGGUAAAAUAAUAUUAAGCAAAACAUUGUUAUUUUUACAAAAGACUAAAUGGGCUAAAGAUACCCUCUAGUGGAAGGUUAGUAGGUCCUUCUCUACAAUCAAACUGACAGCACAGAAAAUCUAGUAUCCCUCAAUUUUAUAAAAUGCUCUACAUAUUCAAUUGUUAUAUGGGACUUUUGCUUUUUUAUGAAUAAUAGGAUCAAUAACAGAGUUAAGAAAUUAAUUUCCUCAUAGUUCAUAUGUUCUUUUUGAAGGGAUUUUGUUUACUUUGAUUGCUUCCAAGAUGCAUUAUCCUAUAAACAACAACAACCAAAUUAUCAUGGUAACCAAAUUCUAUUUUCUCUGUUCAAAAAAGAUAUUAGUUAUUCAAUCUACUCUUUCUGGUAAGCUUAUACAAGUAAAUAUUGGCAUGUUCAAUAUAUAAUCUGAAUGUGUUAUCAGAAUCUGCUUUAAUGUUACGAAAAAUUGCUUUAAUAUUAUGAAAGAAAAUAUUUUGCAAAGUCAUCAACAUAACUAAUGUCAAAAUAAAUACCUAAAAAAGGA
Molecule: long non-coding RNA, 13720 nt
Organism: Homo sapiens (human)
Lineage: Eukaryota; Metazoa; Chordata; Mammalia; Primates; Hominidae
Exons: 3
Source: RefSeq, a predicted model, not a curated record